GUCAUUUUGAUGUGUAAAACAACUCAAUCAUUUGUAUAAGCUCAUAAUUAAAAUGAAUUAAAAUGUAAUAUGCCCAAUACUCACUCCAAAUUUAACAAUCUUUAACAUUAUUUAUCGUUUGGAGUGUAAAAAGGGGGUGUUUACAAAUUCUAAUGUGUCUAUUGAACUUUGCAUUCUUUUGAAUUAUAUGUCAUGCUUUGAAUUUUAUCAAUUUGGUUCAUAAAUUACUAAUUUUGUUUCAACUGUAUCCAAUGGAUUUAGGCAUAUGCCAAUAUUGACGAAUUGUUGAAGUGGACUUUUGACAUGGACAAAAAUGACUAAUCUGGAUGAUGGGGCUGCUCUUAUGCCCUAAGAGCCACCAAAUGAUGGUGUUUUGCAAAAUUUGAAUCUCAAAAUGUAUUUU
RNAcentral lists this unclassified non-coding RNA (403 nucleotides) under Hevea brasiliensis (rubber tree). Lineage: Eukaryota; Viridiplantae; Streptophyta; Magnoliopsida; Malpighiales; Euphorbiaceae. The record is from RNAcentral.